GGCUGGUCCAAUGGUAGUAGGUUAUCACAACUUACUAACAUUAAUGUCACUGAAAUUGGGAUAACACCCCCCAUUGCUAAAUGUAACUGGCUUAAU
This 96-nucleotide Y RNA is filed under the name Propithecus coquereli (Coquerel's sifaka). RNAcentral describes it as "Y RNA (ENSPCOG00000001988.1)". It matches the Rfam family "Y RNA". From Rfam's summary of the family: Y RNAs are components of the Ro ribonucleoprotein particle (Ro RNP), in association with Ro60 and La proteins. The Y RNAs and Ro60 and La proteins are well conserved, but the function of the Ro RNP is not known. In humans the RNA component can be one of four small RNAs -- hY1, hY3, hY4 and hY5. Lineage: Eukaryota; Metazoa; Chordata; Mammalia; Primates; Indriidae. The record is from Rfam by way of RNAcentral.